UACGGAGGGUGCAAGCGUUAUCCGGAUUCACUGGGUUUAAAGGGCGCGUAGGCGGCUGGGGAAGUCGGCGGUGAAAGCCCGGAGCUCAACUCCGGGUCGGCCGUCGAGACUCCUCGGCUCGAGCUCACUAGAGGCAGAUGGAAUUCCGGGUGUAGCGGUGGAAUGCGUAGAGAUCCGGAAGAACACCGGUGGCGAAGGCGGUCUGCUGGGGUGAGGCUGACGCUGAUGCGCGACAGCGUGGGGAGCAAACAGG
Molecule: ribosomal RNA, 253 nt
Filed under: uncultured bacterium
Lineage: Bacteria
Description: partial 16S ribosomal RNA
Rfam family: Bacterial small subunit ribosomal RNA
Source: RNAcentral